GCCUAUACAUGCAGUCGAGCGACAGACAAGGAGCUUGCUCCUUUGACGUUAGCGGCGGACGGGUGAGUAACACGUGGGUAACCUACCUAUAAGACUGGGAUAACUUCGGGAAACCGGAGCUAAUACCGGAUAAUAUUUCGAACCGCAUGGUUCGAUAGUGAAAGAUGGUUUUGCUAUCACUUAUAGAUGGACCCGCGCCGUAUUAGCUAGUUGGUAAGGUAACGGCUUACCAAGGCGACGAUACGUAGCCGACCUGAGAGGGUGAUCGGCCACACUGGAACUGAGACACGGUCCAGACUCCUACGGGAGGCAGCAGUAGGGAAUCUUCCGCAAUGGGCGAAAGCCUGACGGAGCAACGCCGCGUGAGUGAUGAAGGUCUUCGGAUCGUAAAACUCUGUUAUUAGGGAAGAACAUACGUGUAAGUAACUAUGCACGUCUUGACGGUACCUAAUCAGAAAGCCACGGCUAACUACGUGCCAGCAGCCGCGGUAAUACGUAGGUGGCAAGCGUUAUCCGGAAUUAUUGGGCGUAAAGCGCGCGUAGGCGGUUUUUUAAGUCUGAUGUGAAAGCCCACGGCUCAACCGUGGAGGGUCAUUGGAAACUGGAAAACUUGAGUGCAGAAGAGGAAAGUGGAAUUCCAUGUGUAGCGGUGAAAUGCGCAGAGAUAUGGAGGAACACCAGUGGCGAAGGCGACUUUCUGGUCUGUAACUGACGCUGAUGUGCGAAAGCGUGGGGAUCAAACAGGAUUAGAUACCCUGGUAGUCCACGCCGUAAACGAUGAGUGCUAAGUGUUAGGGGUUUCCGCCCCUU
This 810-nucleotide ribosomal RNA is filed under the name Staphylococcus haemolyticus. RNAcentral's name for it is "bacterial SSU rRNA". It matches the Rfam family "Bacterial small subunit ribosomal RNA", at positions 46 to 841 of the family's 1533-position model. The record is from RNAcentral. Lineage: Bacteria; Bacillati; Bacillota; Bacilli; Caryophanales; Staphylococcaceae.